UAUAUUCGUACAGUCAAAAUAUCAUGAAAGUAUUAUUUCUUUUCUAUACUUAUGGACGUUAUAUCGUACAUAUGAUUCAGUACGUCUCGGCCUAUAGGCGAUGUACUUAAACCGUAAACGAUAGAGAACAGACUGACUAAGUGUUGAAGUAGAAAUAGAAAAGAAGAGGUGUAAAAAAUAUUGCUGGUCAAAGAACUUUUACUUUUUCUUUCAUUUCUGUGACAUAUGUAUUGUGAAGCGAAGGAUAUGUCCACGCGUUCUCAAUUGCUUGCAUCGUUGCCACGUCCACAUUACAAUAUGAGCCCAAAUUGCAAAACUAAAAACUAUAUAUGUAUCUAAAAUAGUUUUUGUUAUCAAUUUUACUAUUUUAAAUGCAUUUAAUCUAUGUGAAUUAAAAUAUGCUAUUAGUAUAGUUGAGUAAGUUGGAAAAAAUGUAAAUGAUUCUAUUUUAUAAUUUUUAUUUUAAACCUGAAGAGUUGUUACAGGUAGAGAUAUCACUGUUUACGCUUAAACGUAGCGAGGAAUCAUAUAACAGGCUCAAGUUUAUGCAGCUAUACAUAUAUGCCAAUGAAUAACCUUGGAGCUUCAAUCAACUUGCUUACUUCUACAAAGCGAGAAAUUCAAUGAUUUUCAAAAACGAAUACCAUCGAUUAAAAAUCCUCAAGCUUUGACAACGUGAUACCAUAAUUUAGAUAAUAUUCAAAGCUCGCACCAUGAAUACAUAUGGAUCGUGUAUUUUAGGUAAUAACGAUGUAUAUGACGCGUAACCGUAUAUAGAUAGGAAAACAUUCACUGUUCUGCGCCAUGAGCGAUCAUUUCAAAUCUACGGAAAUUCGUGGGUGGAUGGUUAUAUACGCUAAACAGAUUGCCGGUUUAUUUAAACGACGGUGUGUAACGAAAUACGAUGAUGUGUUUGGGAUGAUUCCAAUUUAGCAACCUAGUUUUUUCCCUCGUGUAUCCAAGUGGCGCGCUUUUUUUUCAAGAAAUAAACUGGGUCACACGAUGGCAGCGAAGUGUGCGUAUACACGUGUCCAUCGACGAAGAGAAUCGGACGAGUGAACAAGCACGAAAGCAACGUGCUAGAAUAUAAGUUGCAAAGGUGGCGGAUGUAGACGCAUACAAGCAGUGGUAGAGAGGUAUAACGACCUUUGCGGCUCACAGUGAACGUGCGGAAAUCAUUUGUAUAAAAUUUCUAAUCGCAAAGUUCGCGCUAUUGUUAGUCGGUACGCGACGCACGAUCAGGAAAUAAAAUGGCAACAGGAGGAGCGUGAGAACUCACGUAGAGAGAAACGAUUUGUAGGUGGAAAGAACUCCCACAACGUUUCAGCAAUUACAUAUCUCGGAUAAGUUGCAUAGUUGCAUGCAUGUUUCAUAUUGCUUAAUAACAAAGAAUGACGAGUGUUUUAUAGCACAAUCAAACCGGAAACUCGACUAGCAAUUAAUUUCACCGAACUGCUGAUACGACACUAGCAAGAACGAGCAUGUCGAGACUAGAGGACCAGAAAAGCGAAGUGAAAGAAGAGUACGUUUAGUAAGGGAGUAAUUAGCGACUCUCUAGAUAGAAACGAUACGCGUCCCGAUAGCUCGUGAGCCAUAGUACGGACAAAACGGGCGAAUGAGAAGAACUUAACGACACAGCCGUUCAUUCAGACUAUAUGUAUCUUGGGAUACAUCGUAUUUGGUAUUCGUACGUCCCUGAUCGUUCCGAUCUAUAUCUACCGAUCCUAAAAAUAUUUAUAAACGGUAAAAUAUAAUACGAGCAAUAAGGUACUGUUAUCGAGUGCCGAACGACUGUCCAUUUUAGUACAUUUAUUUGGCUUUCCAAUUAUGCAUAUACUUGCAGUCAGAUAAAUAAUUCACCUUUUAAAAAUAUGAAAAUCGCGGUAGACUGGUAAAGGCCAAGGGAAGGAAAGCAACGAAGGACAGAAGCGACUAAAGGAAGCUUCGAAGCGAGCCUGCGCCGUCUAACCGACACGUAUAAAUAAAGAGUUGGAUACCUGCGAGGUUGCCAGAUCUCAGUAAUAUUGAUCCACGAACCCGACACAGCCGUCAGCCGGGGGUCAUACAGAGACACGUGGCAACAUCGGCCUGUUCCCAGCUGAUCGAGCUCUACUCACGUCUGCUCGACGGUCGACCGUGUCUCUCCGUUCCUUGGAGUUCUCUCGCUUCCGCAGGAGUCCUCCCUCUUUCUCUCAUAACUAGCAACCGGCCACUUAUCGCCUUGCCUCAAAUCACAAGCCUUUCCUUUCUUACAUCGCUGCACUCAACCAUUCCACUUUAACUCGAAUAUGAAGCGAAUACUUCCUUCCACUUGUUAACUAUACACAGUUGCGAGCGAUAUUAUGCAAUAAAGAAAAGCGUUACGCGCCAAACGGACAAGUACACGUCGUGUUUGUUCGCAAGAAUAAAACAUAGGAGAACCUCUAACG
This is a long non-coding RNA of Bombus impatiens (common eastern bumble bee), 2429 nucleotides long. RefSeq lists it as uncharacterized. NCBI's taxonomy places the organism in Eukaryota, Metazoa, Arthropoda, Insecta, Hymenoptera, Apidae. The record is from RefSeq and is a predicted model, not a curated record. The transcript is spliced from 4 exons.